RNAcentral lists this ribosomal RNA (441 nucleotides) under uncultured bacterium. Its description in RNAcentral is "partial 16S ribosomal RNA". It matches the Rfam family "Bacterial small subunit ribosomal RNA", at positions 338 to 795 of the family's 1533-position model. The record is from RNAcentral.
CCUACGGGUGGCAGCAGUAGGGAAUUUUGCGCAAUGGGCGAAAGCCUGACGCAGCAACGCCGCGUGAUUGAUUAAGCCCUUCGGGGUGUAAACAUCUGUCAUUGGGGACGAAAAUUGACGGUACCCACAGAGGAAGCACCGGCUAACUCCGCGCCAGCAGCCGCGGUAAUACGGAGGGUGCAAGCGUUGUCCGGAAUCAUUGGGCGUAAAGAGUUCGUAGGUGGCAUAUUAUGUCUGGUUUUAAAUGCAGAUGCUCAACGUGUGUUCGGCACUGGAUACUGGUAAGCUUGAAUGCGGUAGGGGUAAAGGGAAUUCCUGGUGUAGCGGUGAAAUGCGUAGAUAUCAGAAGGAACAUCGGUGGCGUAGGCGCGUUACUGGGCCGUAAUUGACACUGAGGAACGAAAGCCGGGGUAGCAAAUGGGAUUAGAUACCCUAGUAGUC